Molecule: long non-coding RNA, 459 nt
Filed under: Homo sapiens (human)
Lineage: Eukaryota; Metazoa; Chordata; Mammalia; Primates; Hominidae
Description: non-protein coding lnc-MTMR10-2:1
Source: RNAcentral
CAGAAGAAACACUUCCUAUAAAUCUCGCCCAAACAGGAAAGGAGAAGCAUCAGGGUGUCCGACUACGUGGGUUUCAUAGCUGUGGAAAAGCCAAAGGGGAGACUCCUGAAGAAAGGCGGUGAAGACUGUGAAGAGCGGGUCAGGAAGAUGAGCACAGCACUGCUACUCCUGUGGGCACAGGGACAGCAUGUCUCCAGCCAGCGCCACCUUGUUUAAUACAUGGGAACUCACUGAAAUUCAUUCUGUAUUUUGCCCACAAAGUUUUAAAGCUUUCAUCCACAGUCAGGAAUUAAACUUAUACCAAUGAGAGCCUCACACAUUCAAGGAUGUACUAAGCACUACAGGCCUCACAGAAACAGAGAUCCCAUCUUGGAGUUUUCAGUCCCACAUGGGAGAUAAAGGGUUUUGAACAUGAAAUGACAAAAACAACAGCAAGAAGAAAAUUCUCGUCCUUUUUCA